Long non-coding RNA from Mesocricetus auratus (golden hamster), 495 nucleotides. RefSeq lists it as uncharacterized. The transcript is spliced from 3 exons. The record is from RefSeq and is a predicted model, not a curated record. NCBI's taxonomy places the organism in Eukaryota, Metazoa, Chordata, Mammalia, Rodentia, Cricetidae.
CCCAUUCCCCACACCCCCAUUCUGCAACAUGGUACAGCCUGUCAUGAGUUCUCUGUGGCUCUUGCCCACUCCGAUCACGUCAGAUCACUCUCUGUAACCACGCGUUUGUUUGCUAAAACUCAACCUAAUUUUCACACACAGUUUCUGGAGGCAUCAGUGUGCUCCCUGCACAAGGGACCAAAUAAAAUGGAAAUCUCGUUUUCCUCAGCUGUGACUCAGAAGGUCUCUAACCCUAGUCAGGCAGAUGGCUCCUCUGAGGUCCCCGAGGACCUGGAAAUCCAGACUCUGACUAUGAAGAAGGAUGUUCAGUAUUCCAAGAUGCUAGGACUUCUAGUGAGACGCCUCUUGAAACAGGUUCUACUACGGGGGCAUGACAGACAUCAGAGUGGAGCUUUAUGAACACAGCCCAGAGCCUCCCACCCAGGGUGCCUGCACACCCCUGCUUUAACUCACAUCAUGACCUCGGCCUCUUCAAUAAAGUCCUCUUCUGACAUC